This is a long non-coding RNA of Bubalus bubalis (water buffalo), 973 nucleotides long. RefSeq lists it as uncharacterized. NCBI's taxonomy places the organism in Eukaryota, Metazoa, Chordata, Mammalia, Artiodactyla, Bovidae. The transcript is spliced from 2 exons. The record is from RefSeq and is a predicted model, not a curated record.
GGAGGACACUUUAAGAACGUCACCUGUGUUCAUUUACACAUCCGAGAUUGAAAAGCACUGGUGUGAGGUCUACACAGGCUCCAAAGCCAGAUUGGGGGACCCCAGUGCUGCAAGACAACUUGCAAUGCUGCAAGACAACAAGUGCCCCUGGGAAAGUUCUGAGUGUCUCUGUGCCUCAGUUUCCCCACACGCAAGAUGAGGAUGAUGGCACUGUCUCCCUCAGCAUGGUUGUGAGAAUUAUACUCACACACAGAACUCAGCGUUUGUCGUUACUCUUACAAAAUCUUCUGUUAUUUUCCCAGCAACUGCUCUGACACCAGGCAUUGUGGAGAAACUGCGGCCCCGAGAGUUGGAGACACUUGUUUAGAGUCACAAAACAAAGCUUUUUGGCUGUAAGGCAUUUGUAAUCUCCAGCCAGGGAUCGAACCCACAGCUCCUGCAUUGAAAUGAAGUCUUAACCACUGGACCACCAGGGAAGUCCCAACACAUGUCCCAUCUAAGGAUUCCCUCUCAGUAGCCCUUCACAGCCCUUGUUCCUUACAUAUCCCCUCCCCCAACAGUGUGCAGCUCCAACUCCACACACAGGGACCUUCCCCCAAAUCUUUACUCCAAGUUCCCCUUUCAUUCCUUGAAAUUUAUCCUCCAUUAAGUUGCACAGUGUUUUUUUACAACUUCUCUUUCUAGUUGUGGAUUGUAAAUUUUCCUUCUGCUGAGUCCUGUAGCUGGCUGACUGUUUUUCAUUAUAUUUGUAGGCCUCAGGGAAAAAAAAAUAGGCAAUUCCUUUAUUUGAGAAUCCUGACAUUUAUUAGCAUAAUAAAACUCUCAAGAUGAGAUUGCAGUUUUCCAGACAGUAAUUUCAUUUGCAGGACAACUUACAAGGAAUUUAUUUUAAGGCCAGGUAAAACCUAAAAUCUAUGAGACAUGCAGAAAAUGCGGGCCCCAAAUAAAAGGAAAUAAAUGAGCUGGGCAUGGG